UACGUAGGGGGCAAGCGUUGUCCGGAUUUAUUGGGCGUAAAGAGCGUGUAGGCGGCUUGUUAAGUCUUGCGUGAAAUCUCGGGGCUCAACCCCGAGCGGUCGUGAGAAACUGGCAGGCUAGAGUGCGGGAGAGGAGAGUGGAAUUCCUGGUGUAGCGGUGAAAUGCGCAGAUAUCAGGAAGAACACCCGUGGCGAAGGCGGCCCACUGGGCCGGUGCUGACGCUGAGGCGCGAAGGCGUGGGGAGCGAACGGG
Molecule: ribosomal RNA, 253 nt
Filed under: uncultured bacterium
Lineage: Bacteria
Description: partial 16S ribosomal RNA
Rfam family: Bacterial small subunit ribosomal RNA
Source: RNAcentral